Molecule: long non-coding RNA, 101 nt
Organism: Coregonus clupeaformis (lake whitefish)
Lineage: Eukaryota; Metazoa; Chordata; Actinopteri; Salmoniformes; Salmonidae
Exons: 3
Source: RefSeq, a predicted model, not a curated record
ACUUAAUAUGAGACCUUCACAUCUAACCCUCUGAAAGGUCAGACGUAUUAUGAGACCUUCACAGCUAACCCUCUGAAAGGUCAGACUUAUUAUGAGUUCUU